RNAcentral lists this ribosomal RNA (687 nucleotides) under Rheinheimera sp. Its description in RNAcentral is "bacterial SSU rRNA". It matches the Rfam family "Bacterial small subunit ribosomal RNA", at positions 60 to 754 of the family's 1533-position model. The record is from RNAcentral. Lineage: Bacteria; Pseudomonadati; Pseudomonadota; Gammaproteobacteria; Chromatiales; Chromatiaceae.
AGUCGAGCGGGGUUUUCGGACCUAGCGGCGGACGGGUGAGUAAUGCGUAGGAAGCUACCCGAUAGAGGGGGAUACCAGUUGGAAACGACUGUUAAUACCGCAUAAUGUCUACGGACCAAAGUGUGGGACCUUCGGGCCACAUGCUAUCGGAUGCGCCUACGUGGGAUUAGCUAGUUGGUGAGGUAAUGGCUCACCAAGGCGACGAUCUCUAGCUGGUUUGAGAGGAUGAUCAGCCACACUGGAACUGAGACACGGUCCAGACUCCUACGGGAGGCAGCAGUGGGGAAUAUUGGACAAUGGGCGCAAGCCUGAUCCAGCCAUGCCGCGUGUGUGAAGAAGGCCUUCGGGUUGUAAAGCACUUUCAGCGAGGAGGAAGAGUUGUGUGUUAAUAGUACACAGCUUUGACGUUACUCGCAGAAGAAGCACCGGCUAACUCUGUGCCAGCAGCCGCGGUAAUACAGAGGGUGCAAGCGUUAAUCGGAAUUACUGGGCGUAAAGCGCACGUAGGCGGUUUUUUAAGUCAGAUGUGAAAGCCCCGGGCUCAACCUGGGAAUUGCAUUUGAAACUGGAAAACUAGAGUGUGUGAGAGGGGGGUAGAAUUCCAAGUGUAGCGGUGAAAUGCGUAGAGAUUUGGAGGAAUACCAGUGGCGAAGGCGGCCCCCUGGCACAACACUGACGCUCAGGUGC